CAUGGAGGGUGAGAAUCCCGUCCGGUUGAUCAGAUUCGCUUUACGAUACGCUUUCUAAGAGUCAAGUUGUUUGGGAUUGCAGCUUAAAAUGGGAGGUAAAUUUCUCCUAAGGCUAAAUAACGGCGAGAGACCGAUAGCGAACAAGUACCGUGAGGGAAAGAUGAAAAGAACUUUGAAAAGAGAGUUAAAUAGUACGUGAAAUUGUUGAAAGGGAAACGAUUGAAGCCAGUCGUACCUACGGGUAAUCAGCCUUUUGGGUGUGAUUUUGUGGAGCGUGAGGAGUUAAACGCCUUCAUGCCUGUAUAUUCGUGCACUUUGGGUGUACUUGCCCGUAUGGUUGGUUAACAUCAAUUUUGGUGGUCAUAAAAUGACUGGAGGAAUGUAGCUUCGAUCUCGUAUUGAAGUGUUAUAGCCUUCGGUAGAUGUGAUGAUCGAGAUUGAGGACUGCAACGGAUACCCUUCGGGGCUACCUGUCUGAUCUCUGAUCGUUGCUCUGGUGCCGAAAGCUUGCUUACGGUUAUCAAAGUCGAUGGUCAAUAGGUUAGAACGGGUUAAAUUCGUUAAGGAUGUUGACGUAAUGG
Molecule: ribosomal RNA, 581 nt
Filed under: uncultured Rhizophagus
Lineage: Eukaryota; Fungi; Glomeromycota; Glomeromycetes; Glomerales; Glomeraceae
Description: LSU rRNA
Rfam family: Eukaryotic large subunit ribosomal RNA
Source: RNAcentral